RNAcentral lists this ribosomal RNA (423 nucleotides) under Triticum aestivum (bread wheat). Its description in RNAcentral is "partial small subunit ribosomal RNA". The record is from RNAcentral. Lineage: Eukaryota; Viridiplantae; Streptophyta; Magnoliopsida; Poales; Poaceae.
AUGCCAUCGCGGAAAAGGGUUAAAACCGUGUAUAUAGCACCGACGCGUACCAGUGACUACUCCACGGCCUCCGCUUAUAGGGCACAGUUUUUGGGCUUGGUCCUCUUCGCCAUGGACCAAAUGCUUUGGAAGGCUUGGGCCCCACCGAAAGUCAAGUUCUUUGCUUGGCUCACGCUUUUGGAUAGGAUCUGGACUGCUGACAGAUUGAAGAAGCGAGGGUGGCCUAACUGUGGCCCUUGCCCUUGUGCCGAUGGGUGCAGGAAUGUGGCCCUCAUCUUUUCUUCAAAUGUCGCUUCACUCUCAGGCUUUGGAACCUGGCUAUUCAGAAAUUUCGCAUCCACGACAUGGACACAUCCGCAUGGCACUUGUUCGACUCCAUUCAGGCCUAGUGGGCGAGCACGUGCGCCGCGGCACCACCGAUAG